Molecule: microRNA precursor, 94 nt
Filed under: Canis lupus familiaris (dog)
Lineage: Eukaryota; Metazoa; Chordata; Mammalia; Carnivora; Canidae
Description: mir-8799 microRNA precursor family
Rfam family: mir-8799 microRNA precursor family
Source: Rfam by way of RNAcentral
AAGGGGAGUGCUGAUUCUGGGCUGUGUCCCCUGGCUCCUUGGACUCUGGAGUCUGAGCUGCUGGAAUCGUGCUCUUGGGGCCACACAGCCCCCU